RNAcentral lists this ribosomal RNA (260 nucleotides) under uncultured archaeon. RNAcentral describes it as "partial 16S ribosomal RNA". It matches the Rfam family "Archaeal small subunit ribosomal RNA", at positions 748 to 1013 of the family's 1478-position model. The record is from RNAcentral.
UAGCCGUAAACGAUACUCGCUAGGUGUCGGCCAUGGUGCGACCGUUGUCGGUGCCGUAGGGAAGCCGUGAAGCGAGCCACCUGGGAAGUACGGCCGCAAGGCUGAAACUUAAAGGAAUUGGCGGGGGAGCACCACAACGGGUGGAGCUUGCGGUUUAAUUGGAUUCAACGCCGGAAAUCUUACCGGGACCGACAGCAAUAUGAAGGCCAGGCUGAAGACUUUGCCGGAUUAGCUGAGAGGAGGUGCAUGGCGUAGUCGUG